CCUACGGGCGGCAGCAGUGGGGAAUAUUGGGCAAUGGGCGCAAGCCUGACCCAGCAACGCCGCGUGAAGGAAGAAGGCUUUCGGGUUGUAAACUUCUUUUCUCAGGGACGAAGCAAGUGACGGUACCUGAGGACUAAGCCACGGCUAACUACGUGCCCGCAGCCGCGGUAAUACGUAGGUGGCAAGCGUUAUCCGGAUUUACUGGGUGUAAAGGGCGUGUAGGCGGGAAAGCAAGUCAGAUGUGAAAACCAUGGGCUCAACCUGUGGCCUGCAUUUGAAACUGUUUUUCUUGAGUACUGGAGAGGCAGACGGAAUUCCUAGUGUAGCGGUGAAAUGCGUAGAUAUUAGGAGGAACACCAGUGGCGAAGGCGGUCUGCUGGACAGCAACUGACGCUGAGGCGCGAAAGCGUGGGGAGCAAACAGGAUUAGAUACCCCGGUAGUC
Molecule: ribosomal RNA, 443 nt
Filed under: uncultured bacterium
Lineage: Bacteria
Description: partial 16S ribosomal RNA
Rfam family: Bacterial small subunit ribosomal RNA
Source: RNAcentral